UUUUCUGCCACCGAAUACAUUAGCAUGGGAUAAUGGAAUAGGACCCUGUCCUCCUAUUUUCAGUUGGUUUUGGCAGCGCGAGGACUAGGGUAAUGAUUAAUAGGGAUAGUUGGGGGCAUUAAUAUUUAAUUGUCAGAGGUGAAAUUCUUGGAUUUAUGAAAGAUUAACUUCUGCGAAAGCAUCUGCCAAGGAUGUUUUCAUUAAUCAAGAACGAAAGUUAGGGGAUCGAAGACGAUCAGAUACCGUCGUAGUCUUAACCAUAAACGAUGCCGACCAGCGAUUAGGAGACGUUGAAUACAAAACACCACCAUCGGCGCGGUCGUCCUUGGCGCGUUCGUGUUCACGCACGGGCGCGCGAGGGCGGUUUAGCCCGGUGGCACCGGUGA
RNAcentral lists this ribosomal RNA (386 nucleotides) under Acanthamoeba sp. RNAcentral describes it as "SSU rRNA". It matches the Rfam family "Eukaryotic small subunit ribosomal RNA", at positions 785 to 1095 of the family's 1831-position model. The record is from RNAcentral. Lineage: Eukaryota; Discosea; Longamoebia; Acanthamoebidae.